AUGUGGCUUAAAAGUUAGAACACAUGCCUAGCAAGCAUCAGGAUCUGGGUUCAAAUCCCAGUAU
Molecule: transfer RNA, 64 nt
Filed under: Dipodomys ordii (Ord's kangaroo rat)
Lineage: Eukaryota; Metazoa; Chordata; Mammalia; Rodentia; Heteromyidae
Rfam family: tRNA
About the family: Transfer RNA (tRNA) molecules are approximately 80 nucleotides in length. Their secondary structure includes four short double-helical elements and three loops (D, anti-codon, and T loops).
Source: Rfam by way of RNAcentral